UGGUACAGAGCCACGAAUCUC
RNAcentral lists this non-coding RNA (21 nucleotides) under Arabidopsis thaliana (thale cress). The record is from RNAcentral. Lineage: Eukaryota; Viridiplantae; Streptophyta; Magnoliopsida; Brassicales; Brassicaceae.